CACUCCUACGGGAGGCAGCAGUGGGGAAUUUUGGACAAUGGGCGAAAGCCUGAUCCAGCAAUGCCGCGUGAGUGAAGAAGGCCUUCGGGUUGUAAAGCUCUUUUGUCAGGGAAGAAACGGUGAAAGCUAAUAUCUUUUGCUAAUGACGGUACCUGAAGAAUAAGCACCGGCUAACUACGUGCCAGAAGCCGCGGUAAUACGUAGGGUGCAAGCGUUAAUCGGAAUUACUGGGCGUAAAGCGUGCGCAGGCGGUAUUGUAAGUCUGAUGUGAAAUCCCCGGGCUCAACCUGGGAAUUGCAUUGGAGACUGCAAGGCUAGAAUCUGGCAGAGGGGGGUAGAAUUCCACGUGUAGCAGUGAAAUGCGUAGAUAUGUGGAGGAACACCGAUGGCGAAGGCAGCCCCCUGGGUCAAGAUUGACGCUCAUGCACGAAAGCGUGGGGAGCAAACAGGAUUAGAAACCCGUGUAGUCCCA
RNAcentral lists this ribosomal RNA (472 nucleotides) under uncultured organism. RNAcentral's name for it is "partial 16S ribosomal RNA". It matches the Rfam family "Bacterial small subunit ribosomal RNA", at positions 334 to 797 of the family's 1533-position model. The record is from RNAcentral.